UACGUAGGGUGCAAGCGUUAUCCGGAUUUAUUGGGCGUAAAGAGCUCGUAGGCGGCUUGGCAAGUCGGGUGUGAAAACUUCAGGCUCAACCUGGAGAUGCCACCCGAUACUGCUAUGGCUUGAGUCCGGUAGGGGACCACGGAAUUCCUGGUGUAGCGGUGAAAUGCGUAGAUAUCAGGAGGAACACCGGUGGCGAAGGCGGUUCUCUGGGCAUGUCCUGACGCUGAGGAGCGAAAGUGUGGGGAGCGAACAGG
This 254-nucleotide ribosomal RNA is filed under the name uncultured bacterium. RNAcentral's name for it is "partial 16S ribosomal RNA". It matches the Rfam family "Bacterial small subunit ribosomal RNA", at positions 524 to 776 of the family's 1533-position model. The record is from RNAcentral.